CCCAAUUAAGAGAGAGAGAAAAUUUUGUCCAGUGGUAACUGGAGGAUUUUACCAACAUUAAUUCAUAUAUCCUGUAAUGACAAAAAAUGAAGAAAAGCGUCUAUGUGAUACCAAUAACUAUAGGUCAAUCAAUAAAACAAACCUUUAUAGCUCGCCUAAAUGUUUCAAGCACCUCAACCAUAAUUUCUAACAUAUUACCUGAAAAGGAACUUGGUGUUAUCAAUAUGAAAGAAAUUGCACAUUAAAAAAGCAAGAAUGGAGAUAUGCAAAAUUCAAAAAGAGUAACCACUGUAUACCCUGCAUGUUCAAGACCUUCGAAAUUUCCUUCAUGCUCAAACCUUGGUCACCAGACUUUUGAAUGGCUGAAUAAAGAGUUUUAAAUACCUCGGGAUGAAGAGAAAAUCUUUUUUCUUGACAAGAACGCAAAGAUAUCAGAUAUUCUGAAUAGCUUGUCAUCGCUUCCCAUGGUGAUUUACUCACAUCAUAUGCAGGAAGGAUUGUUGUCCCAGAAUCUAGGAUUUCUCUAGCAUGAUCGGCUACAUCAGAAUGUGAUGUGUUACGGUCAACCUCCAAACUGAGAGUAUCAGUUGGAGUGCUUUUGCCAAGUGUGACAAAAUUAAAGUCCUCAUCUUUAUACCUUUCAAUAACAUGUAUUCUUGAGAUUGUUGCACAAUGCAACUGCAACUUAAUACCAGGGAAACCUUUUUCUCGGCGAGAGAUAAUCUCUCCCUCACCAGUCAAUGUUCUUGAUUUCUUAGGUGUGUCGUCGCCAAAAAUAUCACUACUAUCGUGUUUACGUUUAGAAGUUCUGGUAUCUUCAGCCUCUCCUACUCCUUCCUCGGGUAAGCAAGGGGUAAUUGAUAGUUCUCCUGAAAAAACUAAAGCGCACAAAUGAAAAAUUUCACCACACUGCAAAUCCUCAGGAAGAUCAAACCCUUUUUCCAUUAGAUCAGUUUCUCUUUCCUGGAGCCAGCAAGCAAAGUUAGCAGCUCUCUUUCCAGUGUUCAUGGGAAAUGGAGACAAAGAAAUACUUUGCAGAAAGUGCUGUGAAAGAACAAAUGGGCUAUUAUAGCUACCACCAAUCUGCCAAAGGAAGAAAAAAUUUGUUAGUUUAUUAUGCCAAAUACCAAUAAAAGGAAAAAAAGAACUAGUGAGAUUAAAAUAUUUGUCUUUCAAUGGCAUUUAAACAAACAUCUCAUAAUAUAAGGAUUUGUAUUUCUGCUGUAUUUAUGGAUUAAUAAUUAUAUUUUAAUGGUGAUUAUUUAACAUUAGAUCAAAUACUUGUGCCCUACAUUGUGAUAAUAUUGUUUGAGAUUUCAGUGCCGUUCCAAGAUAUAGCUUUAAAUUUGCCCAUGGAGACAAGUUCCUAUGUAAAUAGGAGGGGCGGUACUUUUUUGAUGGAAACAAAAAAUCUUCAUCAUAUGUGGCCUGUCCAAGUAUUUUACUGUUAAGAAUAGUCAUGAUUUUUUUUCAAUUACUGUUUAUUCAGCAGUGUGCUAGAUAUAUUCAUUUUAUCCAUAUUGCAGUGAUCAAAUGAUGAUGUAUAUUGCAGGAAAUAUAAUUUACCAUAAUUUUCUUUUCUCUUAGGUAGUUAAAAGCGGCAAAAAGAUCAUGCUCAGAAUAACGUCUUAAUGUUUCAGCUAGCAGAGUAGGAACUUCAGGAGCUGACGAUGUGCUUAGAAAGAUUAGCUUAAAUAGCUCAGCAGCAUUUGCAACAGCAACAGAUUCAUGUGCUCUUCUGCUAACACUUGCACCUUCAUUUAAAAGUUUCACAUACUUUUUAGGAAGCAGUCGAGAGCUCGAUCUUUGAGGACAAGCUCUACUCUUCUCUUCACAAUUCUCAAAUUCCUGACUAUGAGGGGCUGAAGAAGUGAUUCCAGUGCCACGGGGAUACUGUACACAAGAGAGUAAAAGAAGUAAAUGACAAAGCACUCCAUAGAUUAUAAAUGUCAUCAGCAACAGAGAUGGACAGCAGAAUAGCUUUGGCAGAAAACAGACACUUGUUAUUCACCUUAAUAACACAUUUAACUGGAAAACACAAUUCACAUUUCAAAUUUCUAUCCCUCUUUCUGUGUUUAUAUUUUCCUUGGUUGUUGGGGGGAAAGUGGUAGUACAAGUCUGAACUCGUGACACUUAACACAGAUUAUGAUCAAAUAGACAUACGUAACAAAUUACGGAAAUAUUAUAUUCCUAUGAAACAUAGAUAAAGAUAAUAGGGGAAUGUCAACUUACUUUUCCUUCCCCGUCUUCUUUAUCUGAACACAUAUGCUUGGAGGCCUCCAAUUUAGCCAAUCGUUUGUUUAGUAGAACAUCAUCUAAUGCUCGCUUGAUAAUAUUGUCAUCAAAAUUAUCCCAACAUGUUCCAAAUUUAGAUGAUGAGGAGCACACAUUUUCUUCUUCAACUGCGUAAUCCUGGUCCCUCAUUUCAGUAUCAGCAUGAUUCAACAUUUUUCCCUGGACUUGCUCAAGGUAUCUUGCAUACCGUUCUGCAAGAAUAUUGCAUAGCUUCAUUACAGCUUUUCUGAAAGGGAUAUAACUGUUCAAUAUUGCCAUUCUUCGUCUGCAGGAAUCAGGAGAAGCUGGAAGAGCUGAAAUUGAUGCCCAAUCUACACGGUGAAACUUUGCCCCAAGAGCAGCUCGGUAUCUUGCUCCUGUAAUGACAAAAAAUGAAGAAAAGCGUCUAUGUGAUACCAAUAACUAUAGGUCAAUCAAUAAAACAAACCUUUAUAGCUCGCCUAAAUGUUUCAAGCACCUCAACCAUAAUUUCUAACAUAUUACCUGAAAAGGAACUUG
RNAcentral lists this long non-coding RNA (2793 nucleotides) under Olea europaea (common olive). RNAcentral describes it as "long non-coding RNA (OEUR_LNC009179)". The record is from RNAcentral. Lineage: Eukaryota; Viridiplantae; Streptophyta; Magnoliopsida; Lamiales; Oleaceae.